UUGGAGGGCAAGUCUGGUGCCAGCAGCCGCGGUAAUUCCAGCUCCAAUAGCGUAUAUUAAAGUUGUUGCAGUUAAAAAGCUCGUAGUUGAAUUUCGGGGUCAGUAGGUCGGUCGUGCCAACGGUAUGAACUGGCCUCACUGAUUCCUCCCUCUUGUAGAACCGUGAUGCCAUUAACUUGGUGUUGCGGGGAAACAGGACUGUUACUUUGAAAAAAUUAGAGUGUUUAAAGCAGGCAAGCAGGC
This 243-nucleotide ribosomal RNA is filed under the name uncultured Glomus. Its description in RNAcentral is "partial 18S ribosomal RNA". It matches the Rfam family "Eukaryotic small subunit ribosomal RNA", at positions 548 to 793 of the family's 1831-position model. Lineage: Eukaryota; Fungi; Glomeromycota; Glomeromycetes; Glomerales; Glomeraceae. The record is from RNAcentral.